UAAAUUUCAUUUUCUUGUCUCUCUCGCCUGCAGUGUGUGUGCGCGCGCGCGAGGCGAGGAGAGAGGCGCGUGUGCGAGUGAGUGUGCUAGCGGGGGUGCGCGUGUGAGUGUGCGCGUGUGUGUGCGUGCGCGUGGCACCGGCGCCCGCGGCUACGGGGCUGGCGCUGCCGGAGCCGGGCCGGACCGGGGUCCGAGAUCUGCGUCGCGCUGGGCACGCUGGCCACCCGGUCCGGAAUGAGUCGGGGCUCCGGGAGGUGCCCGUGGGCAGAGCGUUAGGGGCGCGGCCGUGCCGGACCCGCCCUGGGGACCCGCUGGAGCUGGAGGAGGAACUAACUAGCCAGCUUCCGUUCCUCAGCCUUUCUUCUCUAAACACCAAGUUCCACCAUUGACAGAACACUGAGUCCUGCACAGUCACAUGGACACGAGUAAGGAGAGUUCAGAGGCUGCAGUGGAGUUCCACACGAAGCACAGGAGGUGAAACCCCUUUUUCCUGGCUCCUCAGGAGACAUGUGAAGACAACGCGAUUAGAGGUCCUUCAGGCACGGAUAGGAUGGCUUGGCAUCUUCUUCCGAGCAAGCGCAGCUCUCAGGCCGGGCCUGAGCCUGCAGCCUGUGUGCCCUCCAUCAUCAGGGCCCCCUCUCAGGACAGGCUACACCGAGGGUGGGACGGCGGACUUCCAGGGACACUUCCAAGUCGUGCCCAUGCAGAUACCUCAGUAUACACUGCCCACAGUUAAGAAACCACGACCUGAGACAUUGUUUUGAAGAGGUGAAAAUGCCUCCACUCAAGUGGCCCAGGAGCGUGAUCCAGGAAGACGAACACACAGAACCAUCUUCUGCAUGGUUUGAAAAUUCAGUGGAAACUAGUAAUGCCUAUGCGGGUUCACUGAUGAGAGGGCCCUAUGAGCCAUCCAGAGAAAAGCUGCCAUAUUUCCCUUCCAGAAGACCUGCUUGCAGGCCUUGAAUUUUGAGAGUGUGGGGAAAGCAGUCAAGCCCGCGCGGAGCGAUUGUGAGGGGCUCUGCUGGAAUUUGGCAGCGCGGAGGCUUGGAGAGAAGCCCCAUGCUGGCUCCCAUUCAGCCGGCCCGUUUUCCUCGAGCUUUGGAAGUUUCACUCAGCCGUGCACUCAAUGGCUUCACAAAGCUGAUUACAAGCUUCAGCGCAUUCCUGAAGGAGCCAAAAGCGACGCAGGUGCAAACGAGCCGAGGGAGCCCCUUAUCCCGUCUCCAUCACAAUCACUUAUCUGGAAACCUGCGGUUGGAUUAAUCGUUAUAUUCCCGAGAUGAGCGUCGCUGCAAUCCGCAGCGAACGCGGGUAGGGACCUGGAGACGCCUCCCGGGCGCUGGCGGGGCCGGUGUGGGCCAGCUCCGCUACCGCCUGAGACGCGGUGUGCCCAGGUGUUGGUGCCCGCGGGAGAGGGCUGUGGGGCGCCUUCCCCAGGAUUUGCUUGACUUGCUUUUCGCUCGAGUGGGUGGUGCGCGGGUGCGGGAGGCGGAGGGAGGAGGAGGGGUGAGGGGAGGAGGGCCUGUGGGGCUGCGGACCCGGAGCAGCCUGGGUGGAGCGCGGCCUCGGGAGGCCCUGGGUGCAUCGCGGCGGGGCCUGGGGGGGCCCAGGCGCCGGAGGAGCCGUCGGUGCCGGAAUGCAGCGUGUUUCACUUGGGAGAAACGUUGCCCUCGGUCCCUUGCCUCCCUCCUGUUGUCUCGGUUUUUCUGGCUUCGUCCUUCGUCCCACCCACCCGUUCCCACCUCAGGUCCCUCCCCCAGGAUCCCCUCCUUAAGGAUCCAGGUCUCUGAAAAUUAUUGGCAACAGUUACACGCCCCACGAUUGAAAUCCACAAGAGAAGAGUCCCAGUUCUGCAGGCCGCUCCAGGGCUAGGGGUAGAGAUGGUGGCAGGUGGUGCGUCAACUCUCUAGGGAAGAGGAACUUGCAUUACAAAGACUUGUCUUUCUGAGCUGAAGUCAAAACGGGGGCGUCAAGCGCGCUCCGUUUGGCGGCGGUGGAGGGGCCGCGCGCCCGCGCUGUCCCAGCCGGAGCUGCCCUGGCUGGUGAUUGGAGGUUUAACGUCCGGAAUUCAGGCGCUUCUGCAGCUCAGAUUUGCCGGCCAAGGGGCCUCAGUUGCAACUUUUCAAAAUGGUGUUUCUGGAAAAUAACAAAUUCAGACUCAACUGGUGACAGCUUUUGGCUAUAGAGAAUGAAACUGCUUCCCUUUGGCGGUGGAACUCUUAAACUUCGAAGAGUGAAAGAAUACAAUGAAAUAAAAUGCCAUAAGAUCACUGGAUUUUUCAGAAAAAGGAAGACCCCAAAUUACUCCCAAAAUGAGGCUUUGUAAAUUCUUGUUAAAAAUCUUUAAAUCUCGAAUUUCCCCCUACAACAUCUGAUGAGUGCUUUAAGAGCAAACGAGCAAAUCCCACCUCGAGAAUCAACAAACCCAAGCUCUGGCCAAGGCUCUCCCCGCGUUUUCUUCUCGUGACCUGGGGAAUGUCCCGCCCCAUCGCUCACCUGGCUCUUGUCAUCUCGCUCAUCUUGAAGUGACCCGUGGACAAUGCUGCUCCCUGCCGCAGCUCCGCCGGUCACUCAGGCAGAACGGGGUAUGCAAAUGGCCUGGAGAGGCCGAGGCCGAACACUGCGCCCAUUGUCCCGGGCGCUCAAAGCGCCGAGCAGCUGCGCAGACUUUCUGGGCUCGGACCCUCGGCCGCCACGCUAAUGUCAUCAUUGCAAAACAUCAGAUUUUGAGAACUAUGCAGUCUGAAUUCAUUAGCAGCCUUCUCGGCGAAGGUUCUUUUCCCCGUGACAAGUUUCAAAGUCCAGACCCCCUCCAACGUUGGUAGGGGUAGGAAGAGGAGGAGGGGCCCAGGGAGGGGGGUCUUUCGCAAGUGGGGCCUCGGGGGAUCCCUGCUCUCCUUCUGGUGCAUUCCGCAACUUUAAAAGCCUUCCUUGGGGUUCUGAGCGCGGAUGUCUGACUUGAAUGACCUGAGAUUUGGACAUAUUCCCGUUUUCUCCCAAGAGUUGCUUUAAUGUUGCGAGUUUAAAUUCACUGAAAGAGGCCCAGAUACCAAGUCGAGUGAAUUUCAUAGACAUCAUCUUCUGUUUUAAUGAUCGCGGCAGUGAUCGUUUCUGAAGUCAUACCCUUUAGGGUGAACUCACAACAAUGCAUGUCAGAGAGGCUGCGCGCCCUAAAGCAAAACAGUUAAAACAUCAGGCCACGCUCCUCAAACUGCAGGAUUGCAAGCAGCUCACAAACUUCCAGUCCCCACCCCAAGGACUCCAAGCUGCUGUCCCCUCUCUGCCGCAUCUGAGGCUGGGAAAACUUCCUAGGAGAAGGCAAGAGAAAGCCACCAGACCAGAGCCGAGGACUAAACUUUAAGGUCGAAGACGGCAGAGGGGCAGGUUCUCCCCUGCACACCCCAAGGCCUCUCCUGCACCCGCGAGGCCUUCCUUGAGCGCCCAGGCCCCCGAAAUGCCUGCCCUCCUUCUGACAAAAGGAGGGGGUAGGAUGUGAAGGGGUAGUGCAACCAACAAUGUUUUUGUAAACACAACAACAGGGAAAUACAUGGAGGAAAUCU
RNAcentral lists this long non-coding RNA (3560 nucleotides) under Homo sapiens (human). RNAcentral's name for it is "HSALNT0375316". Lineage: Eukaryota; Metazoa; Chordata; Mammalia; Primates; Hominidae. The record is from RNAcentral.